UACGUAGGGUGCAAGCGUUGUCCGGAAUUAUUGGGCGUAAAGAGCUCGUAGGCGGUCUGUCGCGUCUGCUGUGAAAACUCGGGGCUUAACCCCGGGCCUGCAGUGGGUACGGGCAGACUAGAGUUCGGUAGGGGAGACUGGAAUUCCUGGUGUAGCGGUGAAAUGCGCAGAUAUCAGGAGGAACACCGAUGGCGAAGGCAGGUCUCUGGGCCGAUACUGACGCUGAGGAGCGAAAGCGUGGGGAGCGAACAGG
Molecule: ribosomal RNA, 253 nt
Filed under: uncultured bacterium
Lineage: Bacteria
Description: partial 16S ribosomal RNA
Rfam family: Bacterial small subunit ribosomal RNA
Source: RNAcentral